CUGGCGGCAGGCCUAACACAUGCAAGUCGAGCGGAAACGACACNAUNGAUUCUUCGGGNGNUUUGNUGGGCGUCGAGCGGCGGACGGGUGAGUAAUGCCUAGGAAAUUGCCUUGAUGUGGGGGAUAACCAUUGGAAACGAUGGCUAAUACCGCAUAAUGCCUACGGGCCAAAGAGGGGGAUCUUCGGACCUCUCGCGUCAAGAUAUGCCUAGGUGGGAUUAGCUAGUUGGUGAGGUAAUGGCUCACCAAGGCGACGAUCCCUAGCUGGUCUGAGAGGAUGAUCAGCCACACUGGAACUGAGACACGGUCCAGACUCCUACGGGAGGCAGCAGUGGGGAAUAUUGCACAAUGGGCGAAAGCCUGAUGCAGCCAUGCCGCGUGUAUGAAGAAGGCCUUCGGGUUGUAAAGUACUUUCAGUUGUGAGGAAGGGUGUGUAGUUAAUAGCUGCGCAUCUUGACGUUAGCAACAGAAGAAGCACCGGCUAACUCCGUGCCAGCAGCCGCGGUAAUACGGAGGGUGCGAGCGUUAAUCGGAAUUACUGGGCCGUAAAGCGCAUGCAGGUGGUUCAUUAANGUCAUAUGUGAAAGCCCGGGGGCUCAACCUUCGGAACUGCA
RNAcentral lists this ribosomal RNA (614 nucleotides) under marine gamma proteobacterium SB16. RNAcentral describes it as "bacterial SSU rRNA". It matches the Rfam family "Bacterial small subunit ribosomal RNA", at positions 36 to 625 of the family's 1533-position model. The record is from RNAcentral. Lineage: Bacteria; Pseudomonadati; Pseudomonadota; Gammaproteobacteria.